Molecule: ribosomal RNA, 229 nt
Filed under: uncultured bacterium
Lineage: Bacteria
Description: partial 16S ribosomal RNA
Rfam family: Bacterial small subunit ribosomal RNA
Source: RNAcentral
UGCGCAGGCGGAAUGAUAAGUCAGUGGUGAAAUCCUACGGCUCAACCGUAGAACUGCCAUUGAUACUGUUGUUCUUGAGUACAGUUGUAGUGGGCGGAAUAUGUCAUGUAGCGGUGAAAUGCAAAGAUAUGACAUAGAACACCGAUCGCGAAGGCAGCUCACUAAGCUGAAACUGACGCUCAGGCACGAAAGCGUGGGGAGCAAACAGGAUUAGAUACCCUGGUAGUCC